UCUAAUAUGGCAGAUUAGUGUAUUGAGUUUAAGCUUCAAAAAUAAACCCUAGGUUUUGUUAGAA
This 64-nucleotide transfer RNA is filed under the name Hemicaecilius mockfordi. RNAcentral's name for it is "tRNA-Leu". The record is from RNAcentral. Lineage: Eukaryota; Metazoa; Arthropoda; Insecta; Psocodea; Sphaeropsocidae.